This is a long non-coding RNA of Zootermopsis nevadensis, 320 nucleotides long. RefSeq lists it as uncharacterized. The record is from RefSeq and is a predicted model, not a curated record. Lineage: Eukaryota; Metazoa; Arthropoda; Insecta; Blattodea; Termopsidae.
AUUAGUUGGUUCAACAUCUAGAUUGAUGGCUCCACAGAUGGGACAUAACAACUGACAUAUCGUGAGUCCUCAGUGCUGGCAUGCUGGCUGCUAUAGACGCUGGAUGGACUAAGGAAGACCUUGAUACUGUAGCAGUGGUUGGAUAAUAUUCGAAAUUAAUGUAGCAUAUAUGUGAUGAUUACAUUUUUAACCAAAGGUACUUGGUUUGAUUCUCAGCUGGAUUUGCGUGUGUCAGGCUCACAUUGUGUAUCCUCGGACUCUGCGCGCGAAUGCUGCGAUGGUGCCGAUAAAUUAGCCGCAGUGCCCCCUGUGCGUUAAAG